GGCAGAAUUAGUAGAAGUUGUGGUGGUCAUGAAAGCAGACUAAGAACAGGUCCCCAGCACCUUAGGCGACUAAUACCAUGUUAACAUCUGCGGUAAGUUGCCAAUCUAUUGUGUAUUAAACAAAUGAAAUUGUACCAAGUGUUAAAAGAAUAGAAUGAAAAUGUAUUAAGUACUGAAAGUAUUCUUUUGUAUUUAGUCUUACCUUUUCCAGUUUGUUCAUUAUAGCAGUAGUAUUUAUAAAACAUAUGAGUAACUGCUAUUGCUAACAACUUAAAUACUUGAAUAACAAACUAACAGCUAAUAGGCUAGCUCAACAACAGAGUUAGCUAGCAUAGGCCUUAUCUAUAUUCUUAACAGGCAUGUUCGACUGAGGAUACCACAAGGGUGGAAGUAGAACUGAGUUUAAGAAGCAUGAUGAGGCAGUGUUUUUUCGAGAGUUGCCACGUUGAACGAUGUGGGAAUGGGCCAUGUUGAUGCAAGUUACCCAGAAUAAGAAGCUUAGGAGGGCCUGGAGGAAGUUUACCCUUUUUGUGGUUAAUGUCUUUCUGAAUAUCAGCAAUAGAGAGAGCAAUAAGAGAAAGGGAAUUAACAACAUUGUUAUGGAGAUUGGGGAAUAAGACUGAAAAAGUGGAAGUUAUUCUAAAUGAGUUUCUUCAACACCUUAGCCGCCGAACAAGAUUCCUUCAACAAUUAUUAUAUAGUAUCUAUUGACGGUGAAUAGACUUGUUGAUAAGUCCUGUUGGGCUGUUUCAGUCAGAAGAUUCUUGGCCACAAAAUUCUUGCGCAGCCUAGGUGGCGAGUUGUAAAUAGUGCCGAUUUUAGUAGAGAAUUUUAAGAAAACAUGUUGAUUUCAAAUAAAAUUUAGUGGAAUAGUAGAAGCACAAAAAUUUGUGUUUUUA
This 899-nucleotide long non-coding RNA is filed under the name Gossypium barbadense (sea-island cotton). Its description in RNAcentral is "long non-coding RNA (GBAR_LNC014445)". The record is from RNAcentral. Lineage: Eukaryota; Viridiplantae; Streptophyta; Magnoliopsida; Malvales; Malvaceae.